This 169-nucleotide long non-coding RNA is filed under the name Chinchilla lanigera (long-tailed chinchilla). RNAcentral describes it as "lncRNA (ENSCLAG00000024075.1)". The record is from RNAcentral. Lineage: Eukaryota; Metazoa; Chordata; Mammalia; Rodentia; Chinchillidae.
CUUCACUUCUCAUAUGUGUGCCAUUUCGGCCUCAUUGUCACGAUCAUUCUGAAGGUGUAGAGUGGGAACAGGUGGAAGCAUGAGCCAAGACACUCCUGGGCAAGCUGAAGAAAAUCUAAAUGAAAGCCAUCAGCACCUGGCAGACAGCUGAAGACAAAGCCUAUUCAGG